GACGAACGCUGGCGGCGUGCUUAACACAUGCAAGCCGAACGGUAAGGCCCUUCGGGGUACACGAGUGGCGAACGGGUGAGUAACACGUGGGUGAUCUGCCCUGCACUUCGGGAUAAGCCUGGGAAACUGGGUCUAAUACCGGAUAGGACUCCGGACUGCAUGGGCUGGGGUGGAAAGCUUUUGCGGUGUGGGAUGGGCCCGCGGCCUAUCAGCUUGUUGGUGGGGUGAUGGCCUACCAAGGCGACGACGGGUAGCCGGCCUGAGAGGGUGACCGGCCACACUGGGACUGAGAUACGGCCCAGACUCCUACGGGAGGCAGCAGUGGGGAAUAUUGCACAAUGGGCGCAAGCCUGAUGCAGCGACGCCGCGUGAGGGAUGACGGCCUUCGGGUUGUAAACCUCUUUCAGCAUCGACGAAGCGAAAGUGACGGUAGGUGCAGAAGAAGGACCGGCCAACUACGUGCCAGCAGCCGCGGUAA
This 478-nucleotide ribosomal RNA is filed under the name uncultured bacterium. RNAcentral's name for it is "partial 16S ribosomal RNA". It matches the Rfam family "Bacterial small subunit ribosomal RNA", at positions 28 to 523 of the family's 1533-position model. The record is from RNAcentral.